This is a long non-coding RNA of Oncorhynchus tshawytscha (Chinook salmon), 862 nucleotides long. The record is from Ensembl. Lineage: Eukaryota; Metazoa; Chordata; Actinopteri; Salmoniformes; Salmonidae.
CAAGUUUGUAUGAACGUCUGGUUAUUAAAUGGGUACAUAGUUCAAUAGUAAUAUCCUCUAAAACGCUCCAGUGACAAACUAACUUUGCUGCCCUGUUUCAAAUUAUCUACAUGACUGGGAGAACCUAUUCAAGUAAAAUACCUUGUAACUGGAGAAUCCUUCAAAACGAUUGCCUACAGUUAAUAUAUAGGGCACUGCAAGGUUGGGUGACCUGGGACUGCCUCCUGGGGGAAUUCAGGUGUGUGAAGGCUACCUGUGUCCUGCAUUACUUGAUAAGGAUGGACACGAGGACCAGGAGGGGAUGUGCAGCUUGCCGCCGUGUGCCAGAGUAGAAGUCUGCUGCUCUGUGAGAUGUUUCAAGGAUGGGGUCUAACAACGCAGCAAGAGGGGAGAUCUUCACCUCCUACUUCUUCGAAGAUGUUGCUGUUCCCUGGUUAUAUCAGCUGUGUCAGUGAACCCCUCCCACAUCUGAACUGGCUACAUAGAGGGCACAGCAUGAUCAGAGAUAUGUUUUGAUGUGAGAGGGGAUGCCAACCCCCAGUCCUAUCAUCGCCACCUCACCUGCUUUUAAGAUAACCUUUGGGCUGUCGAGUGAUACUUAUGUAAUUGUGAUGAACUAAGAAUAUUUAGGUAGCACUGUGAUUCAUUAAUCAUAUGCUGCCUUCCCUGCUCCUAUGUUUUACCUCUUUCCCUUUUACACCUCUCCCACCACCUCUUUCUUUAUAAUGCACAACAGAUGUGCAUUGAAGUACAGAUUGAACUUGAAUUUAUAACAUUAACAUUAUAAUAUUUAUAAUGCAUGUAUUUAUAACACUUGGAUAAUGAGAUUCUCAAUAAAGCAUUUUACAUUCUCUACUGGUUG